This 232-nucleotide ribosomal RNA is filed under the name uncultured bacterium. Its description in RNAcentral is "partial 16S ribosomal RNA". It matches the Rfam family "Bacterial small subunit ribosomal RNA", at positions 99 to 334 of the family's 1533-position model. The record is from RNAcentral.
CGGACGGGUGAGUAAUGUCUGGGAAACUGCCUGAUGGAGGGGGAUAACUACUGGAAACGGUAGCUAAUACCGCAUAACGUCGCAAGACCAAAGAGGGGGACCUUCGGGCCUCUUGCCAUCGGAUGUGCCCAGAUGGGAUUAGCUAGUAGGUGGGGUGAAGGCUCACCUAGGCGACGAUCCCUAGCUGGUCUGAGAGGAUGACCAGCCACACUGGAACUGAGACACGGUCCAG